AAAAUCAGGAUAAAAAAAGCUUUAACUUAACCUAACAUAAUUAGAUUCAAAGUAUUUCAAAGAUGAUUUUAUCGAUUUUAUUUCCAUUUUGGAAGAAGGAAUGAAGGAAAUAAGGAAAACAUUGAUUAUGCUGAAAUAGUUUACUGGAGAGCUUGAACAAGAGGUAAAUCCAUUUUAAAUUAGAGGAAAACUGUUGAUUUGUAUGUAAAAUAGAAGACAAAGACAAGUUUAAAUAAAGACAAGCUAGCUAAUGAAACAGAUGCAGUGAUAUGACAAACACCUAGAAGAUGGAAUCCUGUGUUCUCAAAGAAAAAGCUAGUUCCAGAAAUAAGCUACCAAUAAUAAACUAGAGAAUGUAUUACAAGAAAGAACAACGCUAAUACCCAACAUAGCUCAAUUGCUUCAGAUAGAAAAAGAGGAGGAAAGGGUAGAACACAAGCGUGCCAGAGAAAAUUAAAGGGCAGAAGAGACACAAAAAUUCAUUGAUUUAUUUAAUUUAAUAAUUAAAUUAUACAAAGGACAAUUAAAUAAAGAAUAAAAAAUUA
This 545-nucleotide long non-coding RNA is filed under the name Diabrotica virgifera virgifera (western corn rootworm). Its description in RNAcentral is "uncharacterized LOC126892564". The record is from RNAcentral. Lineage: Eukaryota; Metazoa; Arthropoda; Insecta; Coleoptera; Chrysomelidae.